AUUGAACGCUGGCGGCAGGCCUAACACAUGCAAGUCGAGCGGAUGAAGGGAGCUUGCUCCUGGAUUCAGCGGCGGACGGGUGAGUAAUGCCUAGGAAUCUGCCUGGUAGUGGGGGAUAACGUCCGGAAACGGGCGCUAAUACCGCAUACGUCCUGAGGGAGAAAGUGGGGGAUCUUCGGACCUCACGCUAUCAGAUGAGCCUAGGUCGGAUUAGCUAGUUGGCGGGGUAAAGGCCUACCAAGGCGACGAUCUGUAGCUGGUCUGAGAGGACGAUCAGCCACACUGGAACUGAGACACGGUCCAGACUCCUACGGGAGGCAGCAGUGGGGAAUAUUGGACAAUGGGCGCAAGCCCGAUCCAGCCAUACCGCGUGGGUGAAGAAGGCCUCGG
RNAcentral lists this ribosomal RNA (390 nucleotides) under uncultured bacterium. RNAcentral's name for it is "bacterial SSU rRNA". It matches the Rfam family "Bacterial small subunit ribosomal RNA", at positions 29 to 420 of the family's 1533-position model. The record is from RNAcentral.